GGCCGGUGCCAGCGUUAAUCGGAAUUACUGGGCGUAAAGCGUACGCAGGCGGUUUGUUAAGCGAGAUGUGAAAGCCCCGGGCUCAACCUGGGAACUGCAUUUCGAACUGUUAAACUAGAGUGUGAUAGAGGGUGGUAGAAUUUCAGGUGUAGCGGUGAAAUGCGUAGAGAUCUGAAGGAAUACCGAUGGCGAAGGCAGCCACCUGGGUCAACACUGACGCUCAUGUACGAAAGCGUGGGGAGCAAACAGGAUUAGAUACCCUGGUAGUCCACGCCGUAAACGAUGUCUACUAGAAGCUCGGGUCUUCGGACUUGUUUUUCAAAGCUAACGCAUUAAGUAGACCGCCUGGGGAGUACGGCCGCAAGGUUAAAACUCAAAUGAAUUGACGGGGGCCCGCACAAGCGGUGGAGCAUGUGGUUUAAUUCGAUGCAACGCGAAGAACCUUACCUACACUUGACAUACAGAGAACUUACCAGAGAUGGUUUGGU
RNAcentral lists this ribosomal RNA (488 nucleotides) under uncultured Gammaproteobacteria bacterium. RNAcentral's name for it is "bacterial SSU rRNA". It matches the Rfam family "Bacterial small subunit ribosomal RNA", at positions 527 to 1015 of the family's 1533-position model. Lineage: Bacteria; Pseudomonadati; Pseudomonadota; Gammaproteobacteria. The record is from RNAcentral.